RNAcentral lists this non-coding RNA (88 nucleotides) under Pseudomonas psychrophila. Lineage: Bacteria; Pseudomonadati; Pseudomonadota; Gammaproteobacteria; Pseudomonadales; Pseudomonadaceae. The record is from RNAcentral.
CUUUAUGGCAGCUGUACGUGGGAGAUCUUCGGGUCUGCCGGGUUUCCUGGAUCACCGGUUCGCCAACCCGCGUACAGCGGCCACCUGU